This 5499-nucleotide long non-coding RNA is filed under the name Homo sapiens (human). RNAcentral describes it as "HSALNT0370895". Lineage: Eukaryota; Metazoa; Chordata; Mammalia; Primates; Hominidae. The record is from RNAcentral.
CGACACUUUCCCAACCGCUUCACCACCCCUCAGCGACUUCCGCUUCCGGCGACUCCAUGGGGAAACUGAAGCCCUAGAGGAAAAGAAGACUAAAUGUAUUACCAUCUGACCCACUUCCUGGCCAGCCUGUUCACCUGUCUGCUGUUCUUCAUUGUUGGGCUGCCUUCUUUUGAUCAAAGCACCUGGAUUUUCAUCUUGGGACUUAUCCCUUCUCCAUCCUCAGUACAUGUUGCUCAAAUGUGGGUAACCCUGGUCUCUGGGCUCCAAGUGAAUAACUCAGGGGUGAUUCUUUUGCGACCCUUGAUGUUUCUUUACAGAAAGAGAAGCUUAUUUUUUUUUCCCUGCUGUUCCUAAGCCAGAAGAAUUUAAACCUGGAGCUGCUGGUGGCCAUUUUGACACUCAAUAAAGAGCUCUUGCCUGAGAAUGAAACCAUCACAAAUGGAAAUAGAGACAAUGAAUAUAGGCAGAUUCUUGAUGACUUUGUCUAAACUCUUGGAUCUAGCUAUGCCUGAAACCUUAGAGUUUCUGUAAUGUGAACCUCUGAUUCCAAUAUUUUUUGCUUGUGUAAAUUUGAGAGGGUUUUGUUACUUGCAACUAAAAGAUUUUUGAUAAAAUAGACCUGUGAUAGACUUGAGCUCUCCCUCUCCCUCUCCCUCUCGUCUCCCUCUCCCUCUCCCUCUCCCUCUCCCCAUGGUCUCCCUCUCCCCAUGGUCUCCCUCUCCCUCUCUUUCCACGGUCUCCCUCUCAUGCCAAGCCGAAGCUGGACUAUACUGCUGCCAUCUCGGCUCACUGCAACCUCCCUGCCUGAUUCUCCUGCCUCAGCCUGCGGAGUGCCUGCAAUUGCAGGCGCACGCCGCCACGCCUGACUGGUUUUCGUAUUUUUUUGGUGGAGACGGGGUUUCGUUGUGUUGGCCGGGCUGGUCUCCAGCUCCUAACCGCGAGUGAUCCGCCAGCCUCGGCCUCCCGAGGUGCCGGGAUUGCAGACAGAGUCUGGUUCACUCAGUGCUCAAUGGCGCCCAGGCUGGAGUGCAGUGGCAUGAUCUCGGCUCGCUACAACCUCCACCUCCCAGCCGCCUGCCUUGGCCUCCCAAAGUGCCGAGAUUGCAGCCUCUGCCCGGCUGCCAUCCCAUCUGGGAAGUGAGGAGCGCCUCUUCCCGGCCGCCAUCACAUCUAGGAAGUGAGGAGUGUCUCUGCCCCGCCGCCCAUCGUCUGGGAUGUGGGGAACGCCUCUGCCCCGCCGCCCUGUUUGGGAUGUGAGGAGUGCCUCUGCCCGGCCGCCACCCCGUCUGGGAGGUGAGGAGCGUCUCCGCCCGGCCGCCCCGUCUGAGAAGUGAGGAGACCCUCCGCCCGGCAGCCGCCCCAUCUGAGAAGUGAGGAGCCUCUCCGCCCGGCAGCCACCCCGUCUGGGAAGUGAGGAGCGUCUCCGCCCGGCAGCCACCCUGUCCGGGAGGGAGGUGGGGGGGUCAGCCCCCCGCCCGGCCAGCCGCCCCGUCCGGGAGGGAGGUGGGGGCGUCAGCCCCCCGCCUGGCCAGCCGCCCAGUCCGGGAGGGAGGUGGGGGGGUCAGCCCCCUGCCCGGCCAGCCGCCCCGUCCGGGAGGUGAGGGGCGCCUCUGCCCGGCCGCCCCUACUGGGAAGUGAGGAGCCCCUCUGCCCAGCCAGCCGCCCUGUCCGGGAGGGAGGUGGGGGGGGGUCAGCCCCCCGCCCGGCCAGCCGCCCCGUCCGGGAGGUGAGGGGUGCCUCUGCCCGGCCGCCCCUACUGGGAAGUGAGGAGCCCCUCUGCCCGGCCACCACCCCGUCUGGGAGGUGUGCCCAACAGCUCAUUGAGAACGGGCCAGGAUGACAAUGGCGGCUUUGUGGAAUAGAAAGGGGGGAAAGGUGGGGAAAAGAUUGAGAAAUGGGAUGGUUGCCGUGUCUGUGUAGAAAGAAGUAGACAUGGGAGACUUUUCAUUUUGUUCUGUACUAAGAGAAAUUCUUCUGCCUUGGGAUCCUGUUGAUCUGUGACCUUACCCCCAACCCUGUGCUCUCUGAAACAUGUGCUGUGUCCACUCAGAGUUAAAUGGAUUAAGGGCGGUGCAAGACGUGCUUUGUUAAACAGAUGCUUGAAGGCAGCAUGCUCAUUAAGAGUCAUCACCACUCCCUAAUCUCAAGUACCCAGGGACACAAACGCUGCGGAAGGCCGCAGGGUCCUCUGCCUAGGAAAACCAGAGACCUUUGUUCACUUGUUUAUCUGCUGACCUUCCCUCCACUAUUGUCCUAUGACCGUGCCAAAUCCCCCUCUGUGAGAAACACCCAAGAAUGAUCAAUAAAAAAAAAAAAAAAAGACCUGUGAUAAGCAUCUAUCUAUAUAUUUAAAAAUAUAUGUAUAAGUACUCAAUAUUCUCAAUAUUUAUUCUUGAGGACAGUACUUAUUAGGAAUAUUUCCAUGCAAUCAACACCUAAAAGUGAAAUGACUACAUAAAGGGUCUUGGUGUAUUUAAAACCAUGUUCCAAGAAUGUACAGAUUUUCACUCUCACCUACACCAGUGCUUGUUUCCCCACAUCUGGAAGUAGAUCUGAGAUGUGUAUAACAACGGAAAAAUGAACAAGAGACUUGAACUGGCAUUUCAUGAAAGAAUAUAUCCAAAUGGCCAAUAAACCUAAAAAAACAUGCUCAACCUCAUUAGGCAUUAAGGAAAUGCAGAUUAAAGCAUUUCCACAAUAUGAUACUACUAAGCACCCACCAGAAUAGCUGACAUUAAAAACACUCACAAUACCAAGAUUGUUGAGGAUGUGGAGCAACUGGAAAUUUCCUUCACUGCUGGUGGUAGUAUAAAUUGAACCACCCCUAUGGAUAACUGUUUGGCAGCAUAUAAAGCUUAUAAGGCUGAACAUAUGCAUUUCCUCUGGCCAGCAAUUCCACUCAUGGGAAAUCUACAUUUAUUCACCAAAAGGCAUUGUACAAAAAACAUUCAUAGCAUUUUGUAAUAGCUCCACUCCCAUCUUCUCCCUGAAACACAACCCAAAAGUCCUUCAAGAAGUAAACAGAUAAAUAAAUUGUGGUACAUUCAUAUUGUAGAAUACUAUAUAGCAAUGAUAAUGAACAAAUGACAGUUAUGCACAAAAAUAUAAGUGAAUCCCAUAAACAUAACAUUGUGAAAUGAAUCCAGAUCCAAAAGAGUAUACCCCAUAUUAUUCAUUUAUAUGAUAUUCAAGAAACAGGCAAAAAUAAUUGAUGGUGAUAGAGGUCAGGAUGGUGGUUACCAUUGGGGAGAAGGAGGACCAUGUCUGGGAGGAUGUUUGAGGGGGUUUUUUGGGUUCUGGUUGUCUUAGUCUGUUUUGUGCUGCUAUAACAGACUACUUGAGACUGGGUAAUUUAUAAUGAACAGAAAUGUAUUGGCUCAAAAUGGAGACUGGGAAGUCCAAGAUUGAGGGGCUGGCGUGGCAUCUUGUGGGAACCUUCUUGCUGUGUCAUCCCAUGGUGGAAGGUGGAAGGGCAAGAGAGGGGUGAGAAAGGACAAAACUCACCCUUUUAUAAUAGCAAUAAUCCCAUCCAUGAGGGUGGAGGCUUUCUGGUCUAAUCACCUUAUAGGGAACUAGAGGUCAUUAUAGCAAGUGAAAUAAGCCAGCCACAGGAAGACAAAUAUUGCAUGUAAUCACCUGACAUGGUUUGGAUCUGUGUCCCACCCAAAUCUCAUGUUGAAUUGUAAUCCCCAGUGUUGGAGGUGGGGCCUGGUGGGAGGUGAUUGGAUUGUGGAGGUGGAUCCUCCAUGAAUGGUCUAGCACCAUCCCCCUUGGUACUGUCCUCAUGAUAGUGAGUGCUCAUGAGAUCUGGUUGUUUAAAAGUGUGUAGCUCGCCUUGCCCCCCACUUUCUUUUGUUCUUGCUCCUGCUGUGUAAGACAUGCCUGCUUCCUCUUCACCUUUAGCCAUGAUUGUAAGUUUCCUGAGGUCUCCCCAGAAGCUGAGCAGAUGCCAGCAUAAUGCUUCCUGCACAGCUUGCAGAACCAUGAGCAAAUUAAACCACUUUCCUUUGUAAAUUAUUCAGUCUCAGGUAUUUCUUUAUAGCAAUGUGAGAAAGGACUAAUAUAUCUCUCAUACAUAUUUGGGAUCUAAAAAAGCUGAUCUCAGCCAGGCACGGUGGCUCACCCCUGUAAUCCCAGCACUUUGGGAGGCCGAAGUGGGUGGAUCACCUGAGGUCGGGAGUUUGAGACCAGCCUGACCAACAUAGAGAAAAACUGUAUCUACUAAAAAUACAAAAUUAGCCAGGUGUGGUGGCACAUGCCUGUAAUCCCAGCUACUUGGGAGGCUGAGGCAGGAGAAUCGCUUAAACUUGAGAGGCGGAGGUUGCGGUGAGCCAAUAUCAUGCUAUUGCACUCCAGCCUGGGCAACAAGAGUGAAACUCCAUCUCAAAAAAAAAAAAAGCUGAUCUCAUGAAGUAGAGAAUAGAAUGAUAGCAGAGCCUGGGAAAGAUAUGGGUGUGGGUGUUGGGAAUGGAGAGAGGUUGGUGAAUGGGUAUAAACAUAUAGUUAGAUGGAAGAAAUAAGUUCUAAUGUUGGAUAGCAGAGUAGUGUAAUAAUAGUUAUCAACAAUGUAUUGUACAUUUAAAAAUAGCUUGAAGUGAGGACUUGAAAUGUUCUCAAAACAGAAAUGAUAAAUGGUCCUAGUGACAGGUAUCCUAAGUACCCUCACUUGAUCAUUACACAUACUAUGCAUAUAACAAAAUAUCACCUGUACCCAUCAACAUAUUUACAAAUAUUACAUUUCAAUAAAAAAGGCCCCCAUCUCUUAAUGGUGCUACAAUGGCAAUUAAAUUUCAACAUGAGUUUUGGAGAGGACAAAGGUUGAAACAACAGCACUGGUAAUGGUCUGUAUCUUGAUUUUGGUGAAGAGGUUGCAUGGAUCUUUUCACUGUGUAAAAACUUAUAAAACUAUGUACUUAUAUUUGUGUGCUUUUCUCUAUGUAUGUUAUACUUUAAUAAAAUUGUUUUUUAAAGCAUUUGGGUGAGAAUAAAAUAAUUUAGAAAAAUUCUACUAGUGGAAAAGAACUUCAGAACACAGAGAGAAAUGCAAGACAUUGCAAAAUUGGUCCUGAUGCAAGAUACUGCAAUGAUGAAAGGCCAAUUUUUCAGGCCUUUGUUGCAAACCUGAAGUGAAACAUCUGAUAUAUUUCUCAUUUGCAUUGCUAGGAAUUUUAUCUUUGGACAAACACAGGAAUAAAGUGAAAAAUGGACCAAGAGCCAAUAAAGGAAGAAAACUGGAUGGAAACUUUGGGGAAAGUUCACCACAGUGCCUGUAUCUGGGGACUGAUACUGUAUUGGGAAGGAGAUAAUUCUGGUCAUAUUCUGCACUAGAUUUUGGAAGGAAAUGGUCUGAACAAUCUCAUAAAAGAUUGACAUGAGUUCUUUGCUAAAGUCUCUAGAAAGAAAUAUGGCAUUAGAUGGGUGAGGAACUCUAGAAAAUGAAAUAAAUAUGAGUGAAUGAAUGAAUAUGAAUAUAAAUGAAAUGAAUGAAAUAAAAUGAAA